Molecule: ribosomal RNA, 253 nt
Filed under: uncultured bacterium
Lineage: Bacteria
Description: partial 16S ribosomal RNA
Rfam family: Bacterial small subunit ribosomal RNA
Source: RNAcentral
UACGUAGGGGGCAAGCGUUGUCCGGAAUCAUUGGGCGUAAAGAGCGUGUAGGCGGCCAGAUAAGUCCGCUGGGAAAUCUCGAGGCUCAACUUCGAGCUGUCGGUGGAAACUGUCUGGCUAGAGUCCGGAAGAGGAGAAUGGAAUUCCUGGUGUAGCGGUGAAAUGCGCAGAUAUCAGGAAGAGCACCCGUGGCGAAGGCGGUUCUCUGGGACGGUACUGACGCUGAGACGCGAAAGCGUGGGGAGCGAACAGG